Cyprinus carpio carpio is the source of this 111-nucleotide vault RNA. Its record names the gene Vault. It matches the Rfam family "Vault RNA". Rfam says of the family: This family of RNAs are found as part of the enigmatic vault ribonucleoprotein complex. Lineage: Eukaryota; Metazoa; Chordata; Actinopteri; Cypriniformes; Cyprinidae. The record is from Ensembl.
ACGUUGGUGUGGCUCAGUGGUUACUUCUGAUUUAUCGACAAAAUCACCUUCUCAUGGCCGCCGGGAAACCGGAGACCAGAGAUCGAACCUCGGGCACUGUCCAACGUUUUC